GAUGAACGCUGGCGGCGUGCCUAAUACAUGCCAGUCGAGCGAACGGACGAGAAGCUUGCUUUUCUGAUGUUAGCGGCGGACGGGUGAGUAACACGUGGAUAACCUACCUAUAAGACUGGGAUAACUUCGGGAAACCGGAGCUAAUACCGGAUAAUAUUUUGAACCGCAUGGUUCAAAAGUGAAAGACGGUCUUGCUGUCACUUAUAGAUGGAUCCGCGCUGCAUUAGCUAGUUGGUAAGGUAACGGCUUACCAAGGCAACGAUGCAUAGCCGACCUGAGAGGGUGAUCGGCCACACUGGAACUGAGACACGGUCCAGACUCCUACGGGAGGCAGCAGUAGGGAAUCUUCCGCAAUGGGCGAAGGCCUGACGGAGCAACGCCGCGUGAGUGAUGAAGGUCUUCGGAUCGUAAAACUCUGUUAUUAGGGAAGAACAUAUGUGUAAGUAACUGUGCACAUCUUGACGGUACCUAAUCAGAAAGCCACGGCUAACUACGUG
RNAcentral lists this ribosomal RNA (497 nucleotides) under uncultured bacterium. RNAcentral describes it as "partial 16S ribosomal RNA". It matches the Rfam family "Bacterial small subunit ribosomal RNA", at positions 28 to 507 of the family's 1533-position model. The record is from RNAcentral.